CCUUCCAGUUGUGGCAUGUGGGACGCUGCCUCAGUGUGGUCUGAUGAGUAGUGCCAUGUCUGCGCCCAGGAUUCGAACCAACGAAACACUGGGCCGCCUGCAGCGGAGCGCGCGAACUUAACCACUCGGCCACGGGGCCAGCCCCUAUUUGCCACUUUUAUAAACACUUGUCAUAUUGCAACAUAACUGUUUAUUUCCAAGCCUCCUCUGCAACAAUGUAAAUUGCUUAAAAACAGGGAAUGUGUCCAAAUUCACCUUUUCAUUCCUGUUAUCUAUCAUACAAUUGGUUCUCCAAUAAAUAUUUGUUGAAUAAACAAGGGAAAAAUUUAUAAAUUACAAUGCAAUAAAUUCCAUUAUUCAUUAGGCCACACAGAUGUUGGUCUUUUGCAAUUAUUUCAAAGGAGGCCAGCCCUAGGUUUACAUAAAGGGGGAAUGGAACGGCAGCAUAACUCUGUAUCUUACGUGAGUGAAAUGCUCUGCUUCACAAUAAUGGUAUGAGGCCAGUUGGAAAAGCCGUGAGGUGGGAUGGCUCCACAUGUUUUCUACCCAGUGUCCCCAGCUGUGCAUCCACAGGAUGAAUGACUGGACUCCGAUUAGACUGUACUGUAGCCCAGAGUCUAAGCUCGUGGACCAAAACAGUAGGUAGGGUCUGGCUGACUAUUCGUAGUUCUACCCCAAUGUGUAUCUCUUCUCUCAAAUCAUAAAGAAUAUUUACUCAGGCUACCAAAGCAAGGGCUGCCAACUGCUGCAACUGCAUAACUUCUGUUUCUGCUCGUUAGAAAGAUAGAAUCUAGAUGGUAGCACUACCAAGUCCCAGGCACAUCAUGCUUCUGCACGCUGCUUACGGAGAAGUGACAAACCAACAUUCACAUGGACCACACAGCCAGGAAUGCAGCUGCAUCCUGGAAAUGAAGAUGUGCACGCUCCAGCGAGGGGCGCUGCAGCCAUGGGAGUGCUGGGGGUGGGGGGGCCCUUCUCCCCUCCACCUUCUGGGAAAACGUGUUUCCUAGAUGAUAGAGAAUGCAGAGAAAUAUAUGUUAAAUAUUGAACUUUAAAGGCAAUUUCACAAAAACCAUUCAAAACCACGACCUGAUUUCAAAUCUUUCAAAUAUUGUCCU
Molecule: long non-coding RNA, 1118 nt
Filed under: Equus caballus (horse)
Lineage: Eukaryota; Metazoa; Chordata; Mammalia; Perissodactyla; Equidae
Description: lncRNA (ENSECAG00000050874.1)
Source: RNAcentral